RNAcentral lists this ribosomal RNA (465 nucleotides) under uncultured bacterium. Its description in RNAcentral is "partial 16S ribosomal RNA". It matches the Rfam family "Bacterial small subunit ribosomal RNA", at positions 28 to 507 of the family's 1533-position model. The record is from RNAcentral.
GACGAACGCUGGCGGCGUGCUUAACACAUGCGAGUCGUACGGUAAGGCCCUUUCGGGGGUACACGAGUGGCGAACGGGUGAGUAACACGUGAGUAACCUGCCCACAACUUUGGGAUAACGCUAGGAAACUGGUGCUAAUACUGGAUAUGUGCUCCUGCUGCAUGGUGGGGGUUGGAAAGCUCCGGCGGUUGUGGAUGGACUCGCGGCCUAUCAGCUUGUUGGUGGGGUAGUGGCCUACCAAGGCGGCGACGGGUAGCCGGCCUGAGAGGGUGACCGGCCACAUUGGGACUGAGAUACGGCCCAGACUCCUACGGGAGGCAGCAGUGGGGAAUAUUGCACAAUGGGCGCAAGCCUGAUGCAGCAACGCCGCGUGCGGGAUGACGGCCUUCGGGUUGUAAACCGCUUUCAGCAGGGACGAAGCUUUUUGUGACGGUACCUGCAGAAGAAGCACCGGCUAACUACGUG